This 200-nucleotide unclassified non-coding RNA is filed under the name Trichoderma sp. RNAcentral describes it as "partial internal transcribed spacer 2". Lineage: Eukaryota; Fungi; Ascomycota; Sordariomycetes; Hypocreales; Hypocreaceae. The record is from RNAcentral.
UUAAGUUCAGCGGGUAUUCCUACCUGAUCCGAGGUCAACAUUUCAGAAAUUUGGGGUGUUUAACGGCUGUGGACGCGCCGCGCUCCCGAUGCGAGUGUGCAAACUACUGCGCAGGAGAGGCUGCGGCGAGACCGCCACUGUAUUUCGGAGACGGCCCCCGGUGAGGGAGGCCGAUCCCCAACGCCGACCCCCCGGAGGGG